This 156-nucleotide non-coding RNA is filed under the name pig gut metagenome. RNAcentral's name for it is "Lysine riboswitch". It matches the Rfam family "Lysine riboswitch aptamer". From Rfam's summary of the family: Riboswitches are metabolite binding domains within certain messenger RNAs that serve as precision sensors for their corresponding targets. Allosteric rearrangement of mRNA structure is mediated by ligand binding, and this results in modulation of gene expression. The record is from RNAcentral.
UGAUAGAGGCGCGGUUGCCAUCAGUAGUUUAGUUUAAACGCCGGGAAGCGUUAGACGAAAGGGGUCACCGCCGAAGAACCGGACAUUUUCCCGAGUGGUCGGUAUCUGGGACGCAGGAGAACAUCCUGCGGACUGUCGCAAUUGCGGAGAGCUGUC